Non-coding RNA from Ciona intestinalis (vase tunicate), 1132 nucleotides. NCBI's taxonomy places the organism in Eukaryota, Metazoa, Chordata, Ascidiacea, Phlebobranchia, Cionidae. The record is from RefSeq and is a predicted model, not a curated record.
UAUAAACAGAGUAUCUGGUAAUAAAUUCCGCGAGACUAACCGUGAUUUGAUGUUCAUAUAGUUGUACUACUCGUGUUUAGUAAAUUAAAGUAAUGAUCCGAUGCUACUAAAACGUAACCAAUAAAAAUCAUGUCCAACAAAUGGUAGUAAUAGAAAAAUUAUAUUUAGCCUAAAUAGCGUCGCUAAUCUCUGCAAAAAAAAACGAAUUAAAAUAUGGAAAACUUUUUGCAUAGAAAAAAACAAGGAACACAAACACCUGCAUCUCCGAACAGUAAAGUAAUCAAAUAUAUCUGGGAAAAGGGAAUAUAAGCAUACAUUUUAUUAUAUUUUAUAUGCAUCCGUCUACGUCUAACUACUUAACUAGACAAGCCAAGUCCUUUACACACGUAACAUAAACAUGCGAGAUUCAAGCCGCAACAUAGACACUUGAAUUUUUGUAAGAAAUUUUUCGCUUCGAAUGGCGGAAGCAACUUACACCCCUCGUGGCCAGGGGUUGAAAUUGUUGCAACAUUCUUUUUUUGCCCCUGUAAAGCGUUUUAAACCCACACCGAAAUAAGGCCUAAGAUGAAAAGUAUAUGGGCACAAUACCAAAUAAGAUGUAUGUGUAUUUUCUUCCAUACAAGGUAUCCGGAUUACGUUUGCUAUUGUGCCUAUCCCGCGGGAUAUUCGUUUUGUGGGCCCAAGUGACGAACCAUUUGCAAUGCUUGGUGUAGUAGUCAUAGAAUCCCACUCACAGUUGCCGGGUUCAGAACGAAUGUUGACGCUUUUGCUUCCGCCAACAUGUUAAUGAAAUGAUCCUUGGGAUUUCAUAGAAAAUAACCAAUGUAAAUUAUGUUGCAGUUCAAACUUGAUGUCUGUCGGAGAAUCGACCGUUCCUCUCCUGAACAAAGCCUUUAUUCCUGAACGGCAGGAAGUAUACGUGACCGAAUCUAUAAAUUUACCUGCAAUGACUGAAACCUUCAUUAUUGGAGCGUUGGAACAUCAUCACAAAGACGACGACUGGCCUGGUUUCCAUGUCUUGAUAGAACGAAACGAUAACUUCGGUGCGAGGCCAUAAGAGAUGGUGUUAAAUUAAGUAGCACAUUGUCUCAACGCCAGAAAGAUCGAGUAUUAGAUCUCUUAAGACGACAUG